GAUGAAGAACGUAGCGAAAUGCGAUAAUUAAUGUGAAUUGCAGAAUUCCGUGAAUCAUCGAGUCUUUGAACGCACAUUGCGCCUCAUGGCAUUCCGUGAGGCAUGCCCAUCUCAGCGUUAGAAAAUAUUCUCAAAUUUUAGUUUUGUGCUAAAAUUUGGAUCAUGUCAAGGAAGCUAUUACUAUUAUUGUGAUCGCUCUUUGGAAAUUGAUAGGUCUUUGAGUUGCUACUCAUAGAACGUGAUGAAUCUUUCUUCGUUCUAUUGUAAUUCACUCUGGUAGUACUAAAACUUGUAUGCCUGUGGCAUAUCUUGUAAUUUGACCUGAGAUUGGGUAGGGAUACCCGCUGAACUUAAGCAUAUCAAUAAGCGGAGGA
RNAcentral lists this unclassified non-coding RNA (374 nucleotides) under soil metagenome. RNAcentral describes it as "partial contains internal transcribed spacer 2 and large subunit ribosomal RNA". The stretch from base 1 to 120 matches the Rfam family "5.8S ribosomal RNA", at positions 35 to 154 of the family's 154-position model. The record is from RNAcentral.